RNAcentral lists this unclassified non-coding RNA (2722 nucleotides) under Owenia fusiformis. RNAcentral's name for it is "oxysterol-binding protein". Lineage: Eukaryota; Metazoa; Annelida; Polychaeta; Sabellida; Oweniidae. The record is from RNAcentral.
CGGAAAUAUAUCACCCGGAAGUAGCUGCCCUGCCACAAUUCUGAAAAGUUAAAACCUACAUCGUAUUUAUAUCAUGUCUCUGGACAGGCCUCCCAUUCCUUUACCUGAUUUAUCGGGUCUGUCAGAGCAGGAACAACAGCAGGUUAUGAUCGUAAUGCAACGUGCUCAGGAUUUUGAGUCACAAGAAUCAGAAAAAAUGAGACAGCCCCUGGAGGGCCAACUGUCCAAGUAUACGAAUGUCAUGAAAGGAUGGCAAUACAGAUUUUUUGUCUUGGAUCCAAUGUCAGGACUUCUGGAGUACUUUGAGAAAGAAGAACACAAGAGACAGAGGCCCAGAGGUUCUGUGUACCUUGCUGGCUCUGUGAUUGCCCCCUCAGAUGAAGACUCCCAGACUUUCACAGUAAAUGCUGCUAAUGGAGAGAUAUUUAGGCUCAGAGCCUAUGAUGCAAAAGACAGACAGCAUUGGCUGAAUAGAUUGCGUUAUACAGCUGAGUACCAUACAAACACAAUCGCACAGAAUGCUCCUCCUCUAGUCCACAGGCCAGAUAGACCUGACAGACCGCCACCCCCAUCAUCUUUGAAAACUGACCAAUCAGGGAACAUUAACAAACCUACUGAGAAUCAACUCACAACAGUCCAAAGAUCCCAUCACAAGUCUACGUCAUCACUAGCAAGCAGAGGUGACUCCCACCGUGAGGUGAAGGAGGUCAUUCAUCAGGUCCAGUCGCAUGAGAAUCAUCUCUUUGAAAAGAUAGAUGAUCUCCCAGCUGGUGGAGAGUUCAUGAACAGGCUAGACAAGGACCUGCUACUGCUGAAGGCCACUUCCCAAGCCACAGUCAACUGCUUGGAGCAGUGUCUACAUAUUCUACAGCAACAGCAGUUGGCUCAGAACUCUGGCAUCCCUGCAGGUGCAACAGUGGAGUGGUUGGAACCAAGAAGUUCUCCAGGGCCGGGGGUACGAGGAAGUAAAAGUGCUAUCAAGGCGUCUCCCGCUGACAGCUUCACAUCUGCUUUAUCCACAGUUUCUCCUGAAGUUCCAGUCAACCAUGAUGAUGAUAUUGAGGAUGACGACAAUGAGAAAGAAUCUGAACUUGGUGGAGUAGAAGCUCACAAGAGUGUUAUUCUACAUCUUCUUUCACAGCUUAAACUCGGCAUGGACUUGACUAGGGUUGUUUUGCCCACAUUUAUAUUAGAAAAGAGGUCUUUGCUUGAGAUGUUUGCAGACUGUAUGGCUCACCCAGACCUUUUCAUGAAAACUACAGAUAUAUCCGACCCUGAGAGCAGGAUGUUGAAUGUUUUAGAGUGGUACCUUACAUCAUUCCAUGCUGGCAUCAUACAGGGAUCCGUUGCCAAAAAGCCAUACAAUCCAAUAAUAGGGGAGACAUUUCAUUGCUCGUGGCAGGUCCCAAAGCUUGAAAUGUCAAAUGGUGACACUUUGGAGGAGCCUCAGAUGUCAUCCAGGCUGAUAUAUAUAGCUGAACAAGUCUCACAUCACCCACCUGUAUCUGCCUUUUACUUUGAAUGUCCUGACAAAAAGAUAUGCAUGAAUGGUUCCAUAUGGACAAAGUCAAAGUUCAUGGGGAUGUCUAUAGGUGUCAGCAUGGUAGGAAAAGUUUCAAUUUAUCUCCAAGAAUAUGAUGAGGAAUAUAAGUUUUCACUGCCGAGUGCCUAUGCGCGGUCUAUACUGACAGUGCCAUGGGUAGAGCUGGGGGAUCGCAUUAACAUUACCUGUCAAAAAACAGGCUAUACAGCUGCUGUAACUUUCCAUACAAAGCCCUUUUAUGGAGGAAGGCUACAUGAGGUCAGUGCAGAGUUGAAGAAUUUAAAGUCUGGAGCUAUAGUUUGUCGAGCCAAAGGAGAAUGGAACGGCAAUCUGGAAUUCAAUUAUCUCAACACUGAUGAACAAAAGAUUAUUGAUACAACGAAGUUAAAAGUUUCUAAAAAAUGUGUACGACCAAUAAAUCUACAAGGUGAAUACGAGUCCAGGAAACUAUGGCAACACGUCACAAACUCAUUGAAGAUGGGAGAUGUCAACACAGCAACAGAACACAAACGAUUUCUAGAGGAUCGUCAAAGAGAAGGUGAGAAAUACAGGAGAGAGUCUUCAAUGCAAUAUCCAACCAAGUAUUUCCAUCUUGAAGGUGACUUAUGGACUUACAAUAAUUUACUACACAGGACCAGUUAAGGCAGAUUGUCAUCUUUAUAUGAAAUAUUGGAUCCAUAUAAGUGUAAAGGAGGACUUCCAUGAUAGAGUGAAAUUAUCGAUUUUGGGUUUGUUUUCUGUGAUGUCAGGAUGUUUGAACUUGGUUACUUUGGGGAUUUUUAUAACAUUGGCGCAAUUUUAUUGUUUUCCAUUCGCAAGAGAAAUGAUUUGGUAAUUUGGACAGAUUGAGUGUUACUGUGUCAAACAUUACGCUAUUUCCAAUGUAAGGAUUGCUGAAGAUUGAAGACACUGAACAAUGAAAUUCAUGAGCAGCUCAUGCAGCAUAAUGGAGUGAGUGAGAAAAGGACAUACAUGUUUUCAGGAUCUGACUGGUGAUUUGCCUUUCGGUGCACUCUGUAUCAAUAAGUCUCAUGUAACAUGCAUAGCAUUACAAAUUUUUAUUUAUUUAAUAACUAGACUCUUGAUAUUGAAUCUUCUAAAAUGUAAGAACAGAAUUAUUAAGAAUGAAUUGAUAUAUAAUUAGUUUGAUUAAAUGAGGUAUACAGAUAUGAAACUGAA